CUACGGGUCGCUGCAGUGGGGAAUAUUGCACAAUGGAGGAAACUCUGAUGCAGCAACGCCGCGUGGAGGAUGACACUUUUCGGAGCGUAAACUCCUUUUAUAUAGGAAGAAGAUGACGGUACUAUAUGAAUAAGCGCCGGCCAACUCCGUGCCAGCAGCCGCGGUAAUACGGAGGGCGCAAGCGUUACUCGGAAUCACUGGGCGUAAAGAGCGUGUAGGCGGAUUAAAAAGUCAGAAGUGAAAUCCUAUAGCUUAACUAUAGAACUGCUUCUGAAACUCUUAAUCUAGAAUAUGGGAGAGGUAGGUGGAAUUUAUGGUGUAGGGGUAAAAUCCGUAGAGAUCAGAAGGAAUACCGAUUGCGAAGGCGAUCUACUAGAACAUUAUUGACGCUGAGACGCGAAAGCGUGGGGAGCAAACAGGAUUAGAUACCCCUGUAGUC
This 439-nucleotide ribosomal RNA is filed under the name uncultured bacterium. RNAcentral describes it as "partial 16S ribosomal RNA". It matches the Rfam family "Bacterial small subunit ribosomal RNA", at positions 339 to 795 of the family's 1533-position model. The record is from RNAcentral.